RNAcentral lists this unclassified non-coding RNA (566 nucleotides) under Lacticaseibacillus paracasei. Its description in RNAcentral is "partial contains 16S ribosomal RNA, 16S-23S ribosomal RNA intergenic spacer, and 23S ribosomal RNA". The stretch from base 338 to 566 matches the Rfam family "Bacterial large subunit ribosomal RNA", at positions 1 to 230 of the family's 2925-position model. The record is from RNAcentral. Lineage: Bacteria; Bacillati; Bacillota; Bacilli; Lactobacillales; Lactobacillaceae.
ACCCGAAGCCGGUGGCGUAACCCUUUUAGGGAGCGAGCCGUCUAAGGUGGGACAAAUGAUUAGGGUGAAGUCGUAACAAGGUAGCCGUAGGAGAACCUGCGGCUGGAUCACCUCCUUUCUAAGGAAACAGACUGAAAGUCUGACGGAAACCUGCACACACGAAACUUUGUUUAGUUUUGAGGGGAUCACCCUCAAGCACCCUAACGGGUGCGACUUUGUUCUUUGAAAACUGGAUAUCAUUGUAUUAAUUGUUUUAAAUUGCCGAGAACACAGCGUAUUUGUAUGAGUUUCUGAAAAAGAAAUUCGCAUCGCAUAACCGCUGACGCAAGUCAGUACAGGUUAAGUUACAAAGGGCGCACGGUGGAUGCCUUGGCACUAGGAGCCGAUGAAGGACGGAACUAAUACCGAUAUGCUUCGGGGAGCUAUAAGUAAGCUUUGAUCCGGAGAUUUCCGAAUGGGGGAACCCAGUACACAUCAGUGUAUUGCUUGUCAGUGAAUACAUAGCUGGCCGGCGGCAGACGCGGGGAACUGAAACAUCUCAGUACCCGCAGGAAGAAAAAGAAAAA